GCGAGGGUUUCCUCCGGCUCGCGAUCGUUAGCAGAACGACGCUGCUCCCCCCUCCUCCCCCAGUUAGCCGGGGGUGGAAUCGGAGAGAAGAAACGACGACGAGGAAGCUCGGACGUUCGUUAAAUUUCGUCUUCGUUAGCGAGAACUCUUCGCCGAUUGUCGGGUCCGUGUAAACACGGGAUCCGGGAUCCAGGAGGCAUGAGGAGCGAGAGGAGACAGGAGGGGGUGAGGAAGCGGAACGAGCGACUUCUUCUGCCCUCCGUCUCGAGGAAAGAAUCCGCCGGAGGAAUCCUACCGGAAGGAAACGAACGAGAGACCUUUUUUACGUCGCGGAACGUCGCCAGGAGGGGAAACAACGCGGAAGAAGAAAGACAAAUGUUGACCUUGCCGGGGACAUUUAACGACGCCAGGCGCCUGGAUCCGCGUUUCGUCUGCCCUCCGCUCCCUUUCGAUCUUAAUGGAAAAGGUAAUCUCUUCGAAUUGCCGCGAUAUAGUCGUUCCCGCCGGAAACUCCACGUUACUUUUCUCAGAUUUUCUUCGAGCCGCUCGUAGACUACCUUAAUUUCAAUUUGCGAGACGCGACGAGCUUCAAGUGCCACCAGGACUCUCGUGUUCUUAACGGCUCUGCUUUUAUAACCGGAAUUGUGAAAGCAGAAGGUUUCCAAGCGUUUGCUCGGUUUUAAUGUUCGUAGAACGUAGUGCGGAUGAACAACAUUCGGCGAAGAACAGCAUUGUAAAUCGUAUUGUUUCUUUGGUGUAAUCAGAUUUUAAUUUCCGAAAUUAAUCAGAAUUUCGGAGGAAAGGCUAAAAAUGGAUAAUAUGUGCUAAUAAAAUCAAAUUUCCUUCUUAAUUCCCGAAUGAUUUCAUAGUCACUUGAACUAUAACGAGACACGUACUCGUUAUAGUUAUUUCACAUAUAAUCUACUUAAUACGAAUGUUAUUUGAUUCUUUUAAAUUAAUUAAAUACAAUUUAAAUCUUCCGUUACCAAAAUCUGGAAACCUCCGGUUUCAUUAGAGAAAUUAUUAACUCAUUGGCGUACCAUUAUCUUUACAAUUUCAAUGAUUUUUUAUCAUAAAAAUUUCUUGGCAGAAAAGAAAGUGCCUACAUUUAUUUAAAUGCUUAAACAUUGGCGAGGAGGGAACGAAAGUUCAGAAUCGACCGUAAAUCACAUUUGACAAGUUACUACUCUAAUCUCCAUUCUGUGUCAGACUCGUUAAAAUACGGCAAGGGGUUAAGAACGAAGAAGUGAUAUUCAAGGCAGCUAUCAAAGAAAUCGUAGUGCAAGGAGUUUACAGAUCUUUCACUGAUAAGUGAACGUAACCUAACAAUGUUUUCCAGAACAAAAACUUCGAGAAGAUCUCCGAACGUCUGUUUCGUAUAGCACACUUUCAAAGAGAUCCGAUACUUUAAAAAAAUGUUGAACGCACCGAUGAACUUCACUUACAAAGAUCGGGAGUGUCGUCGGUGGCUAAUUCCUCAGCGAAGAUCACCGUGUCCCAGUAAACUCGUUACACGGCCGCAAUUCGAGGAACGUAACUUCCGCGCCGGAAGUGCACUUGCACCGGUCUACGCGAAUAGAUUCAGCAGGACGGGAUCGCGCGAGCUUCAUUGAAAAGCAAACGCGUUAUAGGAGGAUACGCCGGAGUCGGGACACGUUCCGACUAAUUAGGAGGUAAACCGAAGCACUUCGAAUCAAUAUGCGCGGCACCGCAGCCACCGUGCGUCGAGGCUAAUAAAUCGCCCUAAAUCCACCAAUCGGAUUCCCCUAAAUCCCGGCGCACGGAUCGGCCGUGCGCCCGCGCUGUUUUUCCAUUCUUUCCAGCUCCGCUUGUCACCCGUCCCGUCGGCGAAAAGAGAAAAAAAUGGAAUCCGACGUUAACUCUUCGAUGACGGAUGAUCUAGGACGAAUGAAGAAUUAGUUCGAGCCGUGGAAAUAUUUCUGAUUGGAAAAAAAUGGAGAUCACUGUCCCGCAGAGAGGAUUCUAAACUAUGAAACCGCAGACGACAUUUUUGCGGACGCCUAACAACUGUUACUCGAAACCUGCGAAAAUUCAGCUGUGAUUCUGUCGAAAAUGUCGAUGGUACGUAGAACUGUAAUAGUUAUAUAUAAUAUAUAUAAUAUAUAUAAGUUAGAAAUAAUAACUGUAGUUCGUAAAUAUCGACUGCAACAUACGUUUUAUUUUUAUCGAAUAAUAAUGAAUUCAUUCACGAUAAAUAAGGGAGAGGGGAUAUAAAUGAAAGUUCACGUGGAGGACGAUAGUUAUUCGUAAUGGACAAUUGAUUAGCUGAGCAAUAUUAUCAAUCAUACGAUUGAUACAAUUGAAAUACCCAUAAUUUGUCUGGUGUUAUUCAGCACGUAACAGGGAGAAAUUACGCAUUUGUCUGAUAGUUACAUUUAAUGAGAAUAAUUCAAUGAUCGAGGGGCAGGAAAUUGGAUCAUUUGAGACCUUGCUCGCGAACACAAUAUCGAACAUUUUCCCCCUAUUAACGUAGAAAACCAUAGGGCAGCCAUGAUGCCGGCAUGGUAAUAUACAACAUGGAUAAUUCUAGCGAGAAAAAUGAAAUAAAAAUGGCUGAGGACUCCCUCCAACUAACGUAAUUUCAGUUUUUCAAAAACAGACAAGAAACGAUAUUGGAAGAAGCAAUUUCUUGCAACUUUGCGGCUUCGGAGUGGCAGUGAGAAAGCGUAUGGAAAUGCGAGUCCCCGUAGAAAAUCGGUUGGAAUUGUACGUAAUCGCAAUUACCGGUCGAGCAAAACUGGCCGGGUCUGCCAAAAGCGACGCUCCUACUCCAAUUAGCGACGCGGUAAUUGCUUCGUAUAGUCUCAAGAAGUCGCAUAAUCACCGACGGCAACACAGAAUUUCGUCGAUUGAGGUGAAACACUGCCCUUAACGGUUCAAAAGAAUCGGUCUUUUCUUUUUGAUUUUCUUAAAGUUUCAAGUGUGUAGAAUGUUGUGUCGAAACGAUAUUUCGAAAUUUCAACAUUUAGCGACGGAAAGUAAAGUUUCUAAAAUCUUACUUUACCAGAGAGAAAAGUUACCUUAAAACUUCUUUCACGCUUUGCUCGAAACUACAGUUUUCAAGCCGUCACGAAAUUUCCGGAACUAUUAUAUCUGAUUCGCUUCAAAUUUUAUGGAGAUGUCCUGAGUCUUGCCAAUUGUGACAGCCAGCAAUCAAUGUUCUACGAGAAGGGAUUUCGGAGACAACGAAUAACUUGUAUAACAAUAAUACCGAAUAAUGUCAUUUUGAAUGGUUUCUACGUAUAAAAAAUUGAAAACCGAA
Molecule: non-coding RNA, 3283 nt
Organism: Megalopta genalis
Lineage: Eukaryota; Metazoa; Arthropoda; Insecta; Hymenoptera; Halictidae
Source: RefSeq, a predicted model, not a curated record